Molecule: transfer-messenger RNA, 367 nt
Filed under: Bradyrhizobium sp. CCBAU 53421
Lineage: Bacteria; Pseudomonadati; Pseudomonadota; Alphaproteobacteria; Hyphomicrobiales; Nitrobacteraceae
Rfam family: Alphaproteobacteria transfer-messenger RNA
About the family: Bacterial tmRNA, also known as 10Sa RNA or SsrA, is named for its dual tRNA and mRNA-like properties. Its role is to liberate the mRNA from a stalled ribosome.
Source: RNAcentral
GCUCUAUUUUUCUCCGUUCGUGCCGCCUAUAUUGGGGGUGCCGGUUCGCCGGCUAUGGAAAUAAAUGACCGUCGCAAUAAACCAUUCGGACCCGGGGGCGGUACCCGGCGCCUCCACCAAAACCCAUCCCGAGCCCUUGGCUCCGGUGGCUUUUGGCGGGGGCGAAAUAGGAUCGACGAGGGCGUAAAGGGCGUGUUUUUUCUCGGUAUGGUUCCGCCGACAUCGGGCCAAUGCAAUAGUUGCCAACGACAACUUUGCUCCGGUUGCUCAGGCUGCGUAACGCAGUUUGAAAGACCAUCUUAAAGUCCUAACGGGUUAAGCUCCGUUAGGCGGGGUUCGGAGGCACCUGGCAACAGAAGCCUCCACU